AGGGGUGCUUUGAUUGUGCUUUUCCUGCAUGGCAGAAGGAGUUGAACUGGAAGGGCCCUGCGGGUCUUCCACUGGAAUACUGUUAAGUUAAAGUUGGUCAAAAGUUGUCGGUUGCAGUUAUAUAUACAUUUUAUAUAAUAUAAUAUAAUAUAAUAUAAUAUAAUAUAAUAUAAAAAUAUUUCUUGGACCCCCAUGAGAAACUUUUGCUUAAAAAAGGCUCCAUGGCUGAAAAGUUUGAGAACCUCUGUUUUAGAACAUUCCUGAUCAUGGGAAGGAUUUUCCAUAUAUUUAGCUAAAUGCACAAUAAGCCUUUAGAAACUUCACAGAAACUUUAAGGACUAGGAACUGUAUUCAUUAGGGUUGUCCAAAUAUUCGUUAUGUUUCUCGUUUCGUAAUUAUUUCAGAUUGUUCUCGUUUUUUGAAACGAGUAUUGAAACGUUUUCCCUGGGUGCAACUGGCAAUGUAAUUCGAACCAUCAUUGGCCCAUUCUCUAAUUGUUUCUUAAAAUUUUCGUUAAUUUUUUUCCUUCCAAAAAUUUUUUAAAGUAUUUUUUAAAAAUUAUUUUUUAUUUAUUUUUUUGUUUCUGCAACCUAACAUGAAUGGGAGCCUAGUGCAGCCUAACAUGGCCGCUCCCUGGCCAAUCAGAGUCUUCCACGAUGGCUGCCAAAGGUGGGGGCUAGCGUCCUCCGUGUCCACGUGGAGGAUCUCUAUGAAAAUCCCCAACCGCAGCUGACCCAAGCCAUUCUGGGUUGGGAUACCGAGGAGAGAGGGUGUUUGGCGCACACUGGGAAGCUGCUGCUUGCUUGUUUGGGGGAGAGAGGGCUAACUGGGGGUAGAGUGUUUCUGUUGUUGCUGGUUCGAUAUUGUGUUUUUUUGGGGGGAAAUUGGCUGGGGGCUUGGGGCAGAGUGUUUCUGUUGUUGCUGGUUCGAUAUUGUGUUUUUUUGGGGGGAAAUUGGCUGGGGGCUUGGGGCAGAGUCCUUGCUGUGGCUAUUUUUAGGGAACGUUUUUUUUCCAAAGGACGUCUGCGUUCCUGCAAAUGCAUUGCUUCCCUCCCGCUCCGUUUGUAAUCCCAAGCCCCCGGGCUGAGUGUUAUUGCAGCAAUCACAAAGACACACAUUGUUUUCAAACCUAAAGGGUACAUUGGAAGAAAUAGUUUCCAAAGGACGUGGGGCACCCGCCAAGGCAUUGCUUCCCUCACGCUCCAUUUCUAUUCCCAAGCCUUGGGCUGAGUUUUAUUUCUGCAAUCACAAAGUCAGACGUUGAUUUGAUUCAAUAGAGGGUCCACAGCAAUUUAUAGUUUCCAAAGGACGUUGCGAAUCCUGCCAAGGCAUUGCUUGGCGUGUGCUGCAUUUCUAAUCCAAAGUCCUCAGCCAGAGUUUCAUUUUUGCAAUCACAAGGUCAGCCAGUGGCAUCAUUGAUCAAAAGGUUCAAAGGCAAUUUAUAGUUUCCAAAGGACGUUGCCAAUCCUGUCAAGGCAUUGCUUGGCGUGUGCUGCAUUUCUAAUCCAAAGUCUACACAAGUAGAAGAGGGACUUUUACAGUGAUAAGAACCCAAUUGAACAGGAAAUAAGACUUUCAAACCAGGAACAGGUUUCUUCAAAUAUUGAAAAAUAGUGUAUUAUAAAAAGUUAUGAAAAUUCGCCAAAAAUCAUAGGAGACA
RNAcentral lists this long non-coding RNA (1660 nucleotides) under Anolis carolinensis (green anole). RNAcentral's name for it is "lncRNA (ENSACAG00000036080.1)". The record is from RNAcentral. Lineage: Eukaryota; Metazoa; Chordata; Lepidosauria; Squamata; Anolidae.